Molecule: non-coding RNA, 1507 nt
Organism: Delphinapterus leucas (beluga whale)
Lineage: Eukaryota; Metazoa; Chordata; Mammalia; Artiodactyla; Monodontidae
Source: RefSeq, a predicted model, not a curated record
UCUCAACCACUGCGCCACCAGGCAAGCCCAGUAUUGCUAUCCAAUUUCUGUGUGCAUUUGUGCCAGAGAUUCUCUAGGCCAGAUACCUGGAAGGAAAGAAACUGGGUGAUGGCGAUUACCUUCAACUUUACAAGAAAUGAUUCUGGAAACACCAACAGGCUUGCAUCCUUACGUGAGGCAGAGGAUCUUUGGAGAUGGACAUAGAAGGGCGAUGCUAGUUCCUCAACACCUCCAGUGGAAAGACCUGCUCUGGCAGCCAAAGAAAGUCCGCAGAAGAGAAUUGCAGGCGCUGACACUGGAAGCCAGAUUGGUGUGCAUGGAAAUGCCACACCAACCUUCUGCCACCACCACCCUGAUGGGUCAGCGGCCAUCGACGUUAAGGAAUGGAAGUUCCAUGAGGGAUAGACUUUGUCUGUCUUGGGAUCCAUCUUGGGAUCCUCAGCAUCUAAGACAGUGCCCAGCACUGGUACCUGCUCAAUAGUUGACUAAAAUGAUGGAACCAUAUUUGUGAAUGAUUGACUGAAGGAAUGAAUGGAGAAAUGAAAAAAAAUGAAGGAACAAAUGAGCUAACACAGCUACAGCUUCUAUUUUGAUGCGUGGACUACUCCUGCUUGUUUGAGCACCAUCAGAUCAUGAAUAAUGUAUGCAGCAAACCAGUUCCAAGAACCGUUUUUUCCAUAGGUUUCUUAAUGGACUAGUGCCAUUGUUUGUACCGUAUCGCUGCCCUCCACGAAGUAAGAAUUCGGCAUUUUCAUCUGACAUCUUUGGGUCAUGUCUUCUGUUUCCCCAAAAGCAUACCCUGAGACAAGGACUUGGGAACCGAUCACUCAAUUGGGAGGUGACCCCAGGAUGCACGAGUGAAGGAGUGGGGAAUGAGGUGCUAAAACCACCACCAAAUUGAAGAAAUUAACUACUCAAUGAUACGGAGCACGUGGUCCCAGACCUACCGGAGCCUAAGGACUGAUACUGUCAAACCCCUGUGACACCGCCCUGUUACUUCGCCAUCAACUAGGAAUCAGAGAACUGUGCAUGAGCUAAUCACAUACCCUGGGACGCCCCUCCUUCACCUGCCCUUUGAAAAUGCUUUGCUGAAACCCUGCGGAGAGUUCGGGUUUUUUCAGCACCAACUGUCCUGAACUCCUUUCUUGGUACCCUGUGAUAAACGUUGCCCUUCCCUUCACCACAGCCUGGCGUCAGGAGAUUGGCUUUACUGCUUGCGGGCCAGUGGACCCAAGUUUUGUUCGGUACCAUCAACAGUCAGGUUUGGAAGCAUCUCCAUCUUUGCACAGCAGUGCUUGUACCAUUAUUUGAAUGUUUUAUUACAUUUUUCUUUAUUAUUUUAUAAAAAUGUCAGUGAGAGAAGCCUGCAUCUCAAACACAAUAUAGAUUUUUAAGCAUGCUGAAAGCUGAUAAUCUUUAACUUUAUUUAGACGUUCAUCAGACUUAGACAUGUAGACUUCGUUAAUUGUGAAGAAAAUGAAUAAAAAUAAUAAACAUCUCCAAAAUG